Molecule: ribosomal RNA, 425 nt
Filed under: uncultured bacterium
Lineage: Bacteria
Description: bacterial SSU rRNA
Rfam family: Bacterial small subunit ribosomal RNA
Source: RNAcentral
UGGGGAAUAUUGCACAAUGGGCGCAAGCCUGAUGCAGCGACGCCGCGUGAGGGAUGACGGCCUUCGGGUUGUAAACCUCUGUUAGCAUCGAAGAAGCGAAAGUGACGGUAGGUGCAGAGAAAGCGCCGGCUAACUACGUGCCAGCAGCCGCGGUAAUACGUAGGGCGCGAGCGUUGUCCGGAAUUAUUGGGCGUAAAGAGCUUGUAGGCGGUUGGUCGCGUCUGCUGUGAAAGGCUGGGGCUUAACCCUGGUUUUGCAGUGGGUACGGGCUAACUAGAGUGCAGUAGGGGAGACUGGAAUUCCUGGUGUAGCGGUGGAAUGCGCAGAUAUCAGGAGGAACACCGAUGGCGAAGGCAGGUCUCUGGGCUGUAACUGACGCUGAGAAGCGAAAGCAUGGGGAGCGAACAGGAUUAGAUACCCUGGUA